This is a long non-coding RNA of Photinus pyralis (common eastern firefly), 225 nucleotides long. RefSeq lists it as uncharacterized. The transcript is spliced from 2 exons. NCBI's taxonomy places the organism in Eukaryota, Metazoa, Arthropoda, Insecta, Coleoptera, Lampyridae. The record is from RefSeq and is a predicted model, not a curated record.
AAUUUUAUAAUUUGUUUUUAGACGAAAGGUACCUCAAGCUUUGGUAAGCGACGCAAUAAGACACAUACGCUGUGCCGUAGAUGUGGUAGAUCGUCCUACCACAUUCAAAAAUCCAGAUGCGGUCAGUGCGGAUACCCUGCUGCUAAAAUGCGAUCCUUUAAUUGGUCUACUAAGGCCAAAAGGAGGAAGACUACUGGCACCGGACGUUGCAGGUAUCUUAAAGUG